This 407-nucleotide ribosomal RNA is filed under the name uncultured rumen bacterium. Its description in RNAcentral is "bacterial SSU rRNA". It matches the Rfam family "Bacterial small subunit ribosomal RNA", at positions 354 to 776 of the family's 1533-position model. The record is from RNAcentral.
GUGGGGAAUAUUGCACAAUGGGCGAAAGCCUGAUGCAGCGACGCCGCGUGAGCGAUGAAGUAUUUCGGUAUGUAAAGCUCUAUCAGCAGGGAAGAAUAAAUGACGGUACCUGACUAAGAAGCUCCGGCUAAAUACGUGCCAGCAGCCGCGGUAAUACGUAUGGAGCAAGCGUUAUCCGGAUUUACUGGGUGUAAAGGGAGUGUAGGCGGUUUUAUAAGUCUGAUGUGAAAGCCCGCGGCUCAACCGCGGUACUGCAUUGGAAACUGUAGAACUAGAGUGUCGGAGAGGUAAGUGGAAUUCCUAGUGUAGCGGUGAAAUGCGUAGAUAUUAGGAGGAACACCAGUGGCGAAGGCGGCUUACUGGACGAUUACUGACGCUGAGGCUCGAAAGCGUGGGGAGCAAACAGG